This 253-nucleotide ribosomal RNA is filed under the name uncultured bacterium. RNAcentral describes it as "partial 16S ribosomal RNA". It matches the Rfam family "Bacterial small subunit ribosomal RNA", at positions 524 to 776 of the family's 1533-position model. The record is from RNAcentral.
UACGCAGGUGGCAAGCGUUAUCCGGAAUUAUUGGGCGUAAAGAGCGCGCAGGUGGUUAAUUAAGUCUGAUGUGAAAGCCCACGGCUUAACCGUGGAGGGUCAUUGGAAACUGGUUGACUUGAGUGCAGAAGAGGGAAGUGGAAUUCCAUGUGUAGCGGUGAAAUGCGUAGAGAUAUGGAGGAACACCAGUGGCGAAGGCGGCUUCCUGGUCUGCAACUGACACUGAGGCGCGAAAGCGUGGGGAGCAAACAGG